AAGUUGCGAAGACUUAGUGGCGGACGGGUGAGUAACGCGUGAGCAACCUACCCUUCAGAGGGGGAUAACACAGGGAAACCUGUGCUAAUACCGCAUAAAGCAUAGAUAGCGCAUGAUAUUUAUGCCAAAGUGAUAGCGCUGAGAGAUGGGCUCGCGUCUGAUUAGAUAGUUGGUGAGGGUAACGGCCCACCAAGUCGACGAUCAGUAGCCGGACUGAGAGGUUGAACGGCCACAUUGGGACUGAGACACGGCCCAGACUCC
Molecule: ribosomal RNA, 261 nt
Filed under: uncultured Eubacteriales bacterium
Lineage: Bacteria; Bacillati; Bacillota; Clostridia; Eubacteriales
Description: uncultured Clostridiales bacterium partial 16S ribosomal RNA
Rfam family: Bacterial small subunit ribosomal RNA
Source: RNAcentral